CUUUCGAACUGCAAGGUUGGCAGGAGCUGGGAUGGAGCAACAGGGACUCACCCCGUUGUGCAGAUUUGAACCAGCGACCUUUCGAUCAACCAGCCCAGCAGCACAGUGGUUUAAACCGCUGCGCCACGAAACAUCCAUGGCGGAACCUAAAUCUUUCUGCAUGCAAGGCAGGCGUUCCACAGCUGGCUGUGCCACAAGCCUCAAUGAGUCCAGGAACCCACCGAGCUGUGAUUUCUCUCCCGUGCAACAACUCCGAGCGGUCAGAGCACCUGCGGCAGCUCCUAGUGAGACCUCUCCCCAUGUCGCCCUCUGUGCGCGCCUGUACCGGGCCAGGUACCUUGCAAUAGACCUCCAUUCAUGGGAAAGACUGCAGUUCACGGAUGGAGCAGUGUGUAUGGAAGAUCCCCAUUCAAUCCAUCGCAUCUCUGGGCAGGGCCGGGAAAGGCCUUGGAGAGUUACUGCUGCCCUUCAGGAUAGAGACCAAAAGAGCUGUGCUGCAUGACACAGAGGCCUACUUUGUCCAGCGAUCUGCUCGUACUGCAGCCAACCAGAUGCCUCUGGGAAGCCGACAAGCAGGAUGUGGAUGUAAUAAGCACCUUCCCUUUAAUACUCCCCAGCAAUUGGCAUUGAGAGUCGGGCUACCUAUCCAGGUGCUUCCAGACAGGGUUUCUAACCUGCAAUUGCCCUGCCUCAAACAUGGCAUUUUAUGGGGGGAAGGUGCUGUUUUCCAUCUCGUGUUUUCCUGCUUGGAGGAGAUGUUUCUCUCCCUCUCAUCAUGCUAGAACCUUGGGUUAUCCCGUGAAUUUGUGGGAGAUUCAAGAUAGACAAAAGGAAGUCCUUCGUCAUACAGCAUAUGCUUAAAUUACAGAAUUCCCUUCCACGGGAUUUAGUGAUGGCCACCAAUUUGGAUGGCAUUGGACAAAUUCAUGGAGGAGGGGGCUAUCGGUGGCUGUUAGUCUUGAUGAUGUAUCGUGCUACCUCCAGGAUGCCUGUGUACACCAGCUGCUGGGGAACAUAGGCAGAGAGGUCCUGUCGCCCUCACAUCCUGUGGGCCUCUGGCUGGCCACUGCAUAAACAGACUGCUGGAUGGGAUGAACUUUUAGUCUGAUCCAGCAGGGCUCUUUGUCACUCUUUUUUGCAUCAAGGGGGAAAAAGAACCAAUCGCUGCAUGAUACUUUUCAGCUGGUAGUGCCAGGAGCCAUCCAACUGAUUCAGCCAGGAGCUGGCAGCUCCUUUGGACAGGACCAGUCGUCAUGGCCAGCCUUAGCCUUUCUGGCAGUGCUGAGCUAGAUGGACCAGUGGCCCCACUCCAAGUUCAGAGCACAUGGAGGCCUUCGCAAGCUCUCAUCCAGCAGCCUGAUCUGUCUCCUCUAGGCCCAUCGCAUGCCCACCAGGUGUGCUGCACAAGAAAGCCAACCUGGCUGGACAGGAGCAGGCUGUUGGGGACUUCGCACCGGGUGCAGGAGGGCUGGUUGCUGGGUUUGGCAUAGCAUGCUGCUCUCUGGCGCUGCGUCCUCAUGGGAAAGGUCAGGUCAGGUCAGGAGGAGAGAGCACGCUGGAAUGCCUGCAGUGACACAGCACGUGCGGAGGCCAAAAUAUACCUCUUUAAAAAAACAAGACAUUUUAGAUUUGCAAGGAACUGGCUGCAUUUUGCAGUUGGGGGUCAUAUUUUAUGUCCCAAGGAUGGUCAGAGAGAGUAAAGGCUUUCCUGUUUACAUAUUAUGCAAAUCAAUAAACAUAACAAAAGC
Varanus komodoensis (Komodo dragon) is the source of this 1748-nucleotide long non-coding RNA. RefSeq lists it as uncharacterized. Lineage: Eukaryota; Metazoa; Chordata; Lepidosauria; Squamata; Varanidae. The record is from RefSeq and is a predicted model, not a curated record. The transcript has 2 exons.